UAAAAACCCCGACUUCGGAAGGGGUGUAUUUAUUAGGUACAAAACCAAUGCCCUUCGGGGCUCUUUGGUGAUUCAUGAUAACUAUACGAAUCGCACGGCCUUGCGCCGGCGAUGGUUCAUUCAAAUUUCUUCCCUAUCAACUUUCGAUGUUUGGGUAUUGGCCAAACAUGGUUGCAACGGGUAACGGAGGGCUAGGGCUCGACCCCGGAGAAGGAGCCUGAGAAACGGCUACUACAUCCAAGGAAGGCAGCAGGCGCGCAAAUUACCCAAUCCCGACUCGGGGAGGUAGUGACAAUAAAUACUGAUACAGGGCCCUUUCGGGCCUUGUAAUUGGAAUGAGUACAAUUUAAAUCCCUUAACGAGGAACAAUUGGAGGGCAAGUCUGGUGCCAGCAGCCGCGGUAAUUCCAGCUCCAAUAGCGUAUAUUAAAGUUGUUGUGGUUAAGAAGCUCGUAGUUGAACCUUGGGCCUGGCUGGCCGGUCCGCCUCACCGCGUGCACUGGUCCGGCCGGGCCUUUCCCUCUGUGGAACCCCAUACCCUUCACUGGGCGUGGCGGGGAAACAGGACAUUUACUUU
Molecule: ribosomal RNA, 576 nt
Filed under: uncultured eukaryote
Lineage: Eukaryota
Description: SSU rRNA
Rfam family: Eukaryotic small subunit ribosomal RNA
Source: RNAcentral